Molecule: ribosomal RNA, 253 nt
Filed under: uncultured bacterium
Lineage: Bacteria
Description: partial 16S ribosomal RNA
Rfam family: Bacterial small subunit ribosomal RNA
Source: RNAcentral
GACAGAGGGUGCAAACGUUGUUCGGAUUUACUGGGCGUAAAGCGCGUGUAGGCGGCCUGAAAGGUCAGCUGUGAAAACUCGAGGCUCAACCUCGAGACGUCGGUUGAAACCAUCUGGCUAGAGUCCGGAAGAGGAGAGUGGAAUUCCCGGUGUAGCGGUGAAAUGCGCAGAUAUCGGGAAGAACACCCGUGGCGAAGGCGGCUCUCUGGGACGGUACUGACGCUGAGACGCGAAAGCGUGGGGAGCGAACAGG